UUUUAGGGCUGCACCCGUGGCAUAUGGAGGUUCCCAGGCUAGGGCUCUAAUCAGAGCUGCGGCUGCCGGCCUACACCACAGCCACAGCAACACGGGAUCCGAACCGCAUCUGCGACCUACACCACAGCUCACAGCAAUGCUUUAUCCUUAACCCAGUGAGAAAGGCCAAGGAUCGAACCUGCGUCCUCAUGAAUACUAGCGGGGUUUAAGCUGUUACAGUCAAGAGGAAGUCAAAACCCUGGCUGGCUCUGCCCAUAGGCUCCUAGGGACCUUGACCUUUUGACCUGGGGCAGGGGGUCAGUAUAGAAUCUAUGGAGUCACGAACAGGUCGUGGGAGGUGGGGUAGUAUGUUUCCCCCGACAAAUGCAGGGAGCAUGGCCCUGCCGGGCCCCAGCCCCUGAAGUCAGGCCUGGGGACAUCUCCCAGUGACCUGGCUUGUGCAAAAGCAGAGGCUUUUGGCUGGGCUGUCUGAGUUUGUUCUGCCACAGGUCAACAGCACCGCAUGAUAGGAGAAGAAGGGCCCGCAAAAUCCUGGGCCCUUUCCUGAACUAGACAUUUAUUUUAAAUUCACUUCGCAGACCUCGCCCCAACCCACCAUUUGAAACGAAGAGUCGUUUCUUCUCUUUCUGCAGGUGUGUAUGUCACGGCUGUUUUAUGCUACAAAAUCCAUGUUUCUCUUUAAUUCAGUUUUGUGGUGAUAAACCACUUACCUUGAGGAUUUCAAAAUCAAUCGCGGUCCCUUUGUCGCCCUAACGAGCCAUCCGAAGCAGGUGUUUAUGACCCGGGCACCUGCAUUUGGCUUGAUUUUCUUCCUGACAUCAUAACCGGGUCAGCAUCAACAGCGCAGGAGGCCCCACCUCGGAAAGCUCAUUAAGUUCCUCAGGACAGCAAAGAGCAGGGAAACAGGUCCAGGUUCCUAGGUGCAGCUGAUGACGUCUGGAAGUGACAGGAAGUGAGGAGAGGGGGCUGGGCAGUGCCCGGAAGGCCUUUCCCGCCAGAGCACCUUCGUGUUUAUUGAUGCUGAGGAAGUGAUUCUAAUUCGUGAUGACUAAGUAGACACAUGAAGGAAUUUACUACUUACUUUUUUGAUUCUGUUGCUACUGUUGCCACCACCAUUGCUAGAAACUCUACUGAGGGAGGAAGAAGGGAAGGCUCCGGGCUGGUGGGUGGGGGGGAAACUGGGUAGGUUAAAAUUCAUGGAAAUAGCCUGAGAGGAACCAGGCUAUCAGCUCUCUGUUCAAAAAGGAAAGUGAUGACGAAAGGACAGAACUUUGGGGAAGGGCUCGCUUCGUGCUGGACACGGUGAUAGGUUCUUUAUCUGUAUCACUCCAUCGAAUUCUUCAAAGCCUCUAUAAGGCAGGAACGACUGUGAUCUCUUGGCUGGGAUACAUUGCUGUCACACUGUGCACAGAAGGGUGACGUCAUGCAUAGGAAGUGACAGUGCAUGGAGACUGCAUCCAGAAGGAUACACUGGAAUCAAAAAACCAUUUGUCGAGAUGGCAGCACUCACCGGAAACUGGCCCUCUCCUGAGCCCAGAGUGUAAGCCAACAGCCCCCUUUAGAAAGGAUCCUUCUGCCUCUGGGAAGUUGGGAGCAAAAUCAACCAGAGACUCAAAGGAAAAAAUAAAUAAAGAAACAACUCCAGAGAGGAUAACAGAUCUCAGACGGGCAUCUAAAACCCUCAGCGUGUGACCCCUAGGAAGCUGCAGGGGGGGCUCACCUUACAAGGAGGAAGGAAGAAGGAGCAACCAUUUAUGAGUCACAGGUGCCGAGGCACAGGAAACUCCAGCUCUCUAAUCACCUUCUUCAUUGAAAUUAUCAGUCACCUCCCACUGUGGCAGAGCUAGCACACAUCAAGAACUCAACACAAGUUAGUCUCCUUAUUAUCUGGUAAGAGGCAAAUGUCUUAUCAGUAAAUUAUACCUUCCUAUGAAUUGCUGGAUAAGACUCCUUCUUAAGACUGGGUUUUGCUAAAUGUGAAGGCGCAGAGAUGUGGGGGAGACCAGGCCCCUGGGGGUGGAAGAAGCAAAGGUUCCAGGGAAGAAGAAGGGCAGCAUGGAGCACCUAAGUGAAAACUUUCACGAGCCGCCCCACCCCACCAUUGUCUGAGGCAGCCCUGGAAUCUGGCUGGUGUCCAUACCCAGUCUGUGGGCAUCUGGACGCAGCCAAGGUAGAGCCACAGCAAACAUGCGUGUCCAUAUGGUCACUGAAUGGACAAUCUCCAGGUGAUUCUUCCAAAUGAGUGGCCCUCUUGGCAUGAGGAGGGAGAAGCAGGUGCAUUUGGCUUUUCAACCUCCCCCUGCUCUUUGUACAGCAUAGGAAGGUGUGGAUGAUGGAGCUAACGUGUGAGAAUUUUCAAGAUACUCAGCAACUUCUCACCCUUCACAAAAUCAGAUCCCUCUUGCACAUUCCACUGUUCUCUCUGCAGUCAGACUUCUUAAUCAUAGCAAACCGUCCUCAGCCCCACGUGUAGCUCAACAGCCAAGAACGUUCCCAGCAACCUUGACCUGUUUGUCAAUGGCUACAGUCUCAAGGGUUAAGAUUGCUCUCAUCUGCAUAGCUCUAGUGCCUGGCUUAGCAAAGAUGUUCAAAGGUGUUUACUGUAAACUCUUAGGUGGUUUUACUAUUUUUUUACUCUCACCAGUUACUAUUUAUUUAAUAUCAAAAUAUUCACCGCACAGUGUCAGCCCUGUACCUAACAUGAGGUCAGGUCCAACGGGAAAGUUAAAACACGUCCUCUAGGGGUUUACAAAUCCUGUACCCAAAGACAGGUAAGUAGCAAUAGCAAGGUAUGAUUAAAUACUAAAAUUAGUCAUCUAUCUAUGAUCUGUGCUUCUCAACCUUUGCUGUGCAUUAGAAUUGCCUGGGAAGCUUUGUAAAACCACAGAUGCCUGUAGCUCACCCACAGGGAUUCUGAUUAGGUCUGUCUGGUCAGGGUCUAUAUUUUUUAAAUAGUCCCCAGUGAUUCACACGAGCAUCCAGGAUAUGAAUCAUUGUAACAAGUAUUAAAGAAUAUAAUUAAGAGAAACACCAGGGAGAAGCAGAGUGGAGAGAAAAACCUUAUGGUGUAAUUGGAACUUGUUUUGAACCUUGAAUCAGAGAAGAGAUUUGGAUGAGCAGGGAUGGAGGGAAGAUAACAUUACGUCUGGGAAGAGGGCGUGCAGACAUUGUGAACAAAGGGAGCUGGAAAUCAAGUUGAUGUGUGUUUGCUACGUGGCAACCGCAAAUGAGAGGCAAGAUACAGAGGGUCCUGUCUGGAGUGAUACCACCUGGCUACAUGAUGGUGCAAGGAGAGUCUCAGAGACCCAAGGAAAAGGAAGGACACAAGGGAGGGUGUGUUUGGACCACAAGCCUGGGAAUUAGUGCCUCUUGGUCUGUGCCCGUAAAACAGCCGUGGGGAGAUUUCAAAAUGGCCUUGAAGAAAGGUUGAGGCAGACAACGAAGUGCAUGUGUUCGAAACUGAAGCCCUUCGUUAAGACUCUAACAUGAAACAGGUACCUGUGUUUGAAGCCCAAGGCUCUUGGUACUGUUAUUCCCAGGAGCUCCAUCUUAACAGUUGAGAGUUUUCCUGCCCUUCCUUAAUUUCCAUGUUGUCUUCUGCUCAGUGGCCAAGUUUUUUGCCUUUUUGCUUCCUUUCUAGGGAGUGAAGCUGGGUGGGUUUGGGGAUCAAGGUCACUGGAGUUAGAGUGGAGGCUCAAAAAGGUGAAUGCAAAAAAAAAAAAAAUCUAAAAUGGAAAAUGCUGUAAGAGGAGGGUAAAGAGCUGGAUAUGCCUGAUUUCUACCUGUUAACAUGCAAAAGAGGAUAAUGAAAAGGAGGUAAUUGUUGAUGCUCCCUCAAAUGGUCAGGUGAGACUGUUGAUGGUACACACUGAGCCCCUUGAACUCACUCCUGAUGCACACAAACGAUGGUUGGCAUUGCAUGAGGGACUUUUAACAGCCAGUGUGGGGACCGAUCAGAAAAUUAUGGAAAAAAACAAUUCACGAGAGCAAGUCAAGACAUGCUGAUACUUUGGUGAGUUCCUCCAUCUAUAACAGAUGUAUUUUGCUACCCCGCUGAGGUCAAAGAGAACCAACCAAAAAACCCCCAAUAAUAAUAAUAAUAAAUAACUUACAGAAAAUGAGAAGGUAAGAUCCCCAAAUCCCUAGGAUCAGGAGAUGUGUGCAUUUGUGUUGCGUCUGGCUAACAAUGGAGCUACUAUUAGAGUGGUAGAAAAAUAGCAGCAAGAAAUGCCUAAAGAUUUUGCCCGGAGGCACAGCAAACAAAAGGAACACGUUUCCCAGGAAAGCGAGAUGAUUCCAGUUUCACUCAUCCAACAAAACUCUUCCAAGAAUGAAGCCAGAAACCCUGACUGCAUCUUGGAGGGACUUGGAGGCUGUCCCAUCACAGUGACGCCAGCUCCUGCCCUGGGCGCCGAUGCCAGAGCUACUGUCUGCAGGCUGCGGCAGGUGGCACACCCAUGUCUGUUUGGGGCAAGUGGCAAUCUCAACUCAGAUCAUUGUCUGGGUCCUCUGGGCAGACUCAACACACCCCAAGCUCGUGGGGAGGAUGCAUUACAGAAGGGCGAGCUUGUCUCAUGCCCUCCUUCUGCAGGCACCCAAUCUCUAUAGACAGACUCACUGAUGCCCUCAAUUUCCAGCCCCAGCUCCCACGCCAGUGUGGGCCUGAGACGGGAAAUCCUGAGGAGGUUUGCAACCUCCCUCCCUCCAGCAGUGGCUCCUCCGUCUUGAGUCACUCUCCCCACGAAGGCUGAGCCAGCUGCCCCCUGGGCUCCCUAUCUUACUUGAGUUGCCCUCACUCUUAAGGAGCCCUUGUCCAUCCCAGUGGGCUUCCUCUCUCUCCCUGGGUUGGGGUUCUCCCAUCAGGUCACAGCCCCUCUGUAAUUACAGAGCGCUGAUAGGUUCCCAGGAGCAUGGAGGAGCCCCCUCUCUGGGAAUGGGGCCAGUAGAGCUAGACGGCAAGAGACAAAACACCUGCCUGCAGAGAUUAACCACCUAUAAAGACUAACUGCCCCCGGAUGGUAAUUCCUGUGGUUGCACGUCUCUGGUUGUGAGGCUCGGAUCCCAACCAUCUGAGAAUGAGAAGACUCAUUCUUCGAAUUUUUCCUGCCCCUGUAACCUUCCCUGUUACAGCUGCUCGGUCGUGGGACUCGACCCCCCACCCCUUUCCAAGUUGUGUGACCUCCCUUUCAUUGUCCUGGCCACAAGUUUCCACCACGGACCCUCGCCACAGAUUCCCACUGUGACCCUUUAUAAGGCUAACUUCUGGAGUUCCCGCUGUGACUCAGCAGAAACAAAUCCGACUAGUAUCCAUGAGGAUGCAGGUUUGAUUCUUGGCCUCGCUCAAGAGCUGUGGUGUAGUUUGAAGAUGUGGCUCAGAUCUGAUGUUGCUGUGGCUGUGGUGUAGGCCCACAGCUGUAACUCCAAUUGGACCCCUAGCCUGGGAACUUCCAUAUGCCGCAGGUAUGGCCCUAAAAAGAUUUAAAAAAAAGAAAGAAAAAAAAA
Molecule: long non-coding RNA, 5502 nt
Filed under: Sus scrofa (pig)
Lineage: Eukaryota; Metazoa; Chordata; Mammalia; Artiodactyla; Suidae
Description: lncRNA (ENSSSCG00000062570.1)
Source: RNAcentral